RNAcentral lists this ribosomal RNA (755 nucleotides) under uncultured Ascomycota. Its description in RNAcentral is "LSU rRNA". It matches the Rfam family "Eukaryotic large subunit ribosomal RNA", at positions 465 to 1235 of the family's 3401-position model. The record is from RNAcentral. Lineage: Eukaryota; Fungi; Ascomycota.
CUUUUGCCCGGUGCACUCUUCUGCUGUCAGGCCAGCAUCGGUUCGGGCGGUCGGAUAAAGGCUUCGGGAAUGUAGCUCCUCUCGAGGAGUGUUAUAGCCCGUUGCGAAAUGCGGCCAGCCUGAACUGAGGUCCGCGCUUCGGCUAGGAUGCUGGCGUAAUGGUUGUAAGCGGCCCGUCUUGAAACACGGACCAAGGAGUCUAACAUCUGUGCGAGUGUUUGGGUGUCAAACCCGUACGCGUAAUGAAAGUGAACGGAGGCGGGAACCCCUCGGGGUGCACCGUCGACCGAUCCUGAUGUCUUCGGAUGGAUUUGAGUAAGAGCAUAGCUGUUGGGACCCGAAAGAUGGUGAACUAUGCCUGAAUAGGGUGAAGCCAGAGGAAACUCUGGUGGAGGCUCGCAGCGGUUCUGACGUGCAAAUCGAUCGUCAAAUUUGGGCAUAGGGGCGAAAGACUAAUCGAACUAUCUAGUAGCUGGUUCCUGCCGAAGUUUCCCUCAGGAUAGCAGUAACGUUUUCAGUUUUAUGAGGUAAAGCGAAUGAUUAGAGGCCUGGGGGUUGAAACAACCUUCACCUAUUCUCAAACUUUAAAUAUGUAAGAAGUCCUUGUUGCUUAGUUGAACGUGGACAUUUGAAUGUAUCGUUACUAGUGGGCCAUUUUUGGUAAGCAGAACUGGCGAUGCGGGAUGAACCGAACGCGGAGUUAAGGUGCCGGAAUGCACGCUCAUCAGACACCACAAAAGGUGAUAGUUCAUCUG